This is a long non-coding RNA of Etheostoma spectabile (orangethroat darter), 140 nucleotides long. RefSeq lists it as uncharacterized. The record is from RefSeq and is a predicted model, not a curated record. NCBI's taxonomy places the organism in Eukaryota, Metazoa, Chordata, Actinopteri, Perciformes, Percidae. The transcript has 2 exons.
AGCAAGAGGAGUACAAGAAGGAGGGUAUUAUCUGGGACUUCAUUGACUUUGGCAUGGAUUUGGCUGCUUGCAUUGAGCUCAUUGAAAAGCCCAUGGGAAUCUUCUCCAUCCUUGAAGAGGAGUGCAUGUUCCCCAAGGCC